Molecule: long non-coding RNA, 1192 nt
Organism: Nannospalax galili (Upper Galilee mountains blind mole rat)
Lineage: Eukaryota; Metazoa; Chordata; Mammalia; Rodentia; Spalacidae
Exons: 6
Source: RefSeq, a predicted model, not a curated record
UGCGACAGCCUCAGACCUGAUGGAAACAGCACGCAACUGGAAAAAUUCAUAGACAUGGAAUUCCUGGAUCAAAUGGUACUUACAGUUAAACCUGUCUGAAUUCAGUUCCUGGGAUUUUCUUGAAUGACAAAAGACAGAAAAGUAAGAAAUGUGUGAGACGUAGAAAUGUUGUCAACAUGUUGCUGGCAGGAAUGUUUUCUAGGGAUUUAAAGGACGGAAGGCCUUCUUUUUCUACUGACUUCUAAUCCUGACCACUGGACUUCGCUGAUUGUGGAAGGAAAAGAAAAGAGGACUGGGGCACAGAGUGGAAUAUGGAGAAAGGACUUGAUGUGCAGUAUGCUUUUGCCACCUAUUGACCACACUGAAUGGUGGUAUUUGUGAUUCUUACCCAAUGCUGGAAGACUGACCUUGACUCCCUCCCGGAGGAUUCUCUGAUCCCUUCACAACUGCAAGUCAUUCUCCUGAAACAUUUUGAGUUUACCUUGUCUGUGACUUGUAAUGUUUGAAACAAACGUUAUGCAAAUUUAAGUCACCAUCAUGUUGCCUCCUGACUAGCUCAUGCAAAAAGAAAGUACAUCUGAGUCACUUGUUUGAGUUAAUUGUUUCUGCCCUCUGCCUGUGCUUCUGCCUGUUCCCUUCUGCAGCUGUUGCUCAUGUGCAUGUAUUGUCAGGCAAACACUGUUUAGCCCAUUUUUAUGUGUCUCAGGAAUUUUAUCAUUUGGUUUUCAAGUAUAGCAAAUUAAUAUAAUUUACCUCUCACUAAUAAUGAAACUUUAAAUCGCUGUACAUUUGCCUGAGUUAGGAUGAAAACGGCCGCCGAGCAACUAACUCAAAAUGGGUGGAUUUCAGGAUGCAAGAACAGCUAAAGGGACAGGAAAGCUUAGAACAGAAAAGGGAGGGUUUUGAAAGGUUGGAUAAUGUUUCUAAAAGCAAGAAUUCUAUAUGGGGUGUGUGUGUGUGUGUUUAUGGAGCUCUAAUUUGCAAUAAAGAAAAAUGAGUACUGUUAGGCUCAGUGCCUUGAAGGACAGAUCAACAUCACUGGGAAAAUCAUAUAUAACAUGAAAUGCUAAAACAUAGAAAAUAGAAAUUGAUUUUCUUGUGUAAGGUCUAAAAGAGAGGUUGAAGUGGUCUCUUUAAUUUUUUCAUUUAUUUUGUAUUUUAUGUCUAUGGGUAUUUUGCCUGCAUGUAUAUA